This 517-nucleotide long non-coding RNA is filed under the name Citrus sinensis (sweet orange). RNAcentral's name for it is "long non-coding RNA (CSIN_LNC001356)". Lineage: Eukaryota; Viridiplantae; Streptophyta; Magnoliopsida; Sapindales; Rutaceae. The record is from RNAcentral.
CAAUAACAUGGCAGUAGAAUGUCCUAAAUGCUCCACAAGAUGGACUGCGAAGACAUGGAUCGCAGAUUGGUUGGUGGCGUUUGAAACUUGUAGGAGGUUGAUCAUACCAGCUAUGCUGCGCGUUGAAUGGAUGCAUGCCAUGAUUCGAAAUUCUGCUUUUUCCUUUGUUCUUUGUAUGGUUCUGCACUUGUAGUUCACGAAUUGCUUUGUUGCCUUGUAGGUUGCAGCGAGGAUGGGCUCGAUCGCACAUGUCAUCACAAAAAGUGCAAAGAUUGUUGGAGGAAAUGCUUCGUCAACCAAAUCCUGAACAACAAAUUCAAUGUCAUAACUUUGCAUCCUUAAUUUUGUAAGUACGCAGAUAUUGAAUUGAAAAUUUAGAAGAGCAAGUAGUUAACCUUUCUAUUGCAGGCGGUGUUGAGGACAAUCAAAGCUAAAAGACCUUUGGUGUUCAUAAGUACACCAAGGGCCAGCCCUUCCUUAGGUGGGAUCUUGUGGAGCAGUGAGACAAGGAAAGUGA